This is a long non-coding RNA of Oncorhynchus kisutch (coho salmon), 4695 nucleotides long. RefSeq lists it as uncharacterized. The record is from RefSeq and is a predicted model, not a curated record. The transcript has 4 exons. NCBI's taxonomy places the organism in Eukaryota, Metazoa, Chordata, Actinopteri, Salmoniformes, Salmonidae.
GAGUCAGUGGAGAUAUGAUGGCGAUGCGUUGGCUCAUUCUCCAGAUGUGUUUGGGUAUGUUUUUUUCCAAUGAAUCUGGCGUUAAAUUUAAAAGAAACCGGAAUUUUAGUUACUGGGAGUCGUUGUUAUUUCAGAACGUUAACUCAAUACUUUAUUUACCAGUUUAUUAGUUGUAGCCUAUAUCAUUGCAUCAUAUCCUGAUUUGUAGAAGGCAAUUAACGUGCUUGUAAUGUAUGGCCGUAACGUUAGUGUCGUGCCUAUGAUUUUCUUUCUGUUGAAGAAGGUGUUAAAAUAUAUAGAAAUACAACAUUACAAUAUAGGAAAAAUAUUAAGAUAGGUCUACACUAUAUUAACCUUUGGACUGGUUUUUGCUACCUGAAAGUGAAUGUUUGGGGUGGGGGAAUUCCCAGUGAAUUCCGCGAUCAGACUUCCUCAAUUAGAUUUGGUUUAUUCGUAACGUGUCGAGUGGGUCGUUGGAGUAAUUAUAGAUGUCUGUGUCAAAUUAAAUAACGUCUCUUAUAGUGUAUUAGGUAUUUCAGUUAAAAGACAAUCAUGGAAAUACACACUUCAUUGACAAGUAUGUGGGCACCUGCUCAUCGAACACCUCAUUUCAAAAUCAUGGCCAUUUAAUAUGGAGUUGGUCCCCCUGUUUCUGAUAAGAUGUUGGAACAUUGCUGAGGGGACAUGCUUACAUUCAGUCACAAGAGCAUUAGUGAGGUCAGGCACUGAUGUUGGGGAUUAGGAGUCUGCGUUCCAAUUUAUCCCUAAGGUGUUAGAUGGGGUUGAGCUGCUCUGUGCAGGCCAGCUAAAUUCUUCCACAACGAUCUCAACAAACCAUUUAUUUAUGGACCUCGCUUUGUGCACAGGGGCCUUGUCAUGCUGAAACGGGAAAGAGCCUUCCCCAAACUGUUGCCACAAAUUUGGAAGCCCAGAAUUGUCUAGAAUGAUAUUCUAUUGUGUAGCGGUAAGAUUUCCCUUCACUGGAACUAAGGAGCCAUGCCCGAACCAUGAAAAACAGCCCCAGACCAUUAUUCCUCCUCCACCAAACUUUACAGUUGGCACUAUGCAUUGGGGAAGGUAGCAUUCUUUUGGCAUCCACCAAACCCAGAUUCUUCUGUUAGACUGCCAGAUGGUGAAGUGUGAUUCAUCACUCGCGAGAACAUGUUUCCACUGCUCCAAAGUCUAAUGACGGCGAGCUUUACACCACUCCAGCCGACGCUUGGCAUUGCGACCUUAGGCUUGUGUGUGGCUGCUCUGCCAUUGAUACCCAUUUCAUGAAGCGCCUGACGAAAAGUUAUUGUGCUGACUUUGCUUCCAAAGGCAGUUUGGAACUCGGUAGUGAGUGUUUUCUUUUUGCAACAUGUGUGACUGAAAUAGCCAAAUCCACUAAUUUGAAGGGGUGUCCCCAUACUUUCGGGCGUGUAGUACAGUUCACUCCUGGUACAUGGUGAUAUCAUGUACUUUUUGACCAAUAGUUUUUUUUUGGCUUGUUUCUUCCAUUUUUUUCUGUUUUUUCCUUUAACCAAUGUAUGUUAAAAUAAAUAGCUUAGAUACAAUAGUGAAAACAGAUAAACAGUUCUACAACUGAACAUCAGAAAUCAACAAAGUGCCUACCCUGACACGAAAGGCUGAGGUAUAUGAAUGGCGCUGGAGAGAAUGGCUGCCGUUUUACAGUAUCCUAACCAAUUGUGCUAUUGUGUUUUUUUAAAAGUUGUUUGUAACCUAUUUUGUACAUAAAGUUUCUGCCACCGUCUCUUAUGACCGAAAUUAUGCCACUGUCUCUUAUGACCGCUUCUCGAAAUUAGGACAGCUAUUACUCACCUCGUAUUGAAAGACAAUUUUUUUCUUUAACGAGUCGGACGAGAGGGAUUUACUCCAGACACCCGACAAGGCCCUCAUCCCCGUCAUUUGCAGGAGACAGAGAUAUUGAGAAUGAAGAUCGGGAAGCCUUGUAAGUAUCCGGUGGCGAGUGGGUAAUUUGCCUUUGUAGGUCGGCUAAGAGGACCGAUGGUAAUCAUUGGAUAAUAAAAUAGACGAACUACAAGCACGUAUAUCCUACCAAUAGGACAUUAGAAACUGUAAUAUCUUAAGUUUCACAGAGUCGUGGCUGAACGACGACAUGAUAACAUACAGCUGGCGGGUUAUACACUGUAUCGGCAGGAUAGAACAGUAGCCUCUGGUAAGACUAGGGGUGGCGGUCUAUGUAUUUUUGUAAACAACUGCUGGUGCAUGAUAUCUAAGGAAGUCUUGAGGUUUCGCUCGCCUGAGAGUAUCUCAUGAUAUGCUGUAGACCACACUAUUUACCAAGAGAGUUUUCAUCUGUAUUCUUCGUAGCUGUCUAUUUACCACCACAAACCGAUGCUGGCACUAAGACAGCACUCAAUGAGCUGUAUAUGGCCAUAAGCCGUAUAGGAAAUUGCUCAUCCAAAGGCGGUGCUCCUAUUGGCCGGGGACUUUAAUGCAGGGAAACUUAAAUCCGUUUUAGCUAAUUUCUACCAGCAUGUUAAAUGUGCAACCAGAGAGAAAAAAACUCUUGACCACCUUUCCUUCUCACACAGAGACGCAUACAAAACUCUCCCUAGCCCUCUAUUUGGCAAAUCUGACUAUAAUUCUAUCCUCCUGAUUCCUGCUUACAAGCUAAAACUAAAGCAGGAAGCACCAGUGAAUCGGUCAAUAAAUGAGUGGUCAAAUGAUGCUAAGCUACAGGACUGUUUUGCUAGCACAGACUGGAACAUGUUCCGGGAUUCUUCCGAUGGCAUUGAGGAGUACACCACAUCAGUCACUGGCUUCAUCAAUAAGUGCACCGACGACGUCGUCCCCACAGUGACUGUACGUACAUACCUCAACUAGAAGCCAUGGAUUACAGGCAACAUCCACACUGAGCUAAAGGGUAUAGCUACUGCUUUCAAGGAGCAAGACUAACCCAGAAGCUUAUAAGAAAUCCCGCUAUGCCCUCCGACAAACUGUCAAACAGGGAAAGUGUCAAUACAGGACUAAGAUGGAAUUGUACUACACCGGUUCCGACGCUCGUCAGAUGUGGCAGGGCUUGCAAACUAUUAGACUACAAAGGGAAGCACAGCCGCGAGCUGCUCAGUGACCCAAGCCUACCAGUCAAGCUUAAUAACUUCGAUGCUCGCUUCGAGGCAAGUAACACUGAAACAUGCAUGAGAUCAUCAGCUGUUCCGGGCGACUGUGAUCACGCUCUCCGUAGCCGAUUUUCAGUGUCCGCAGCCCCUGUAGAGGAUAAUCAAAUUGCCUACAUAUGUCAGGAGGGUAAUGUCACACUAGAAGCACCGUUUUAAAGAAUUGGAUGCCCAAUGUGAGGAGAGCUGGACCAUUGGCAAAGAGCCCAUUGCCAUUUAUAAAAACGACAGGGGUAAAGUAAGGACAAAGGAUUACAUUCCUCCAUGCAAGGAUGUGUUCUUUGGAAAAGUCAUCCUUAGUAAAUGUGCCAAUGUCACAUUAACUAUUGGUUGCACCAAGAAACAGGAUGGGUUACAUAAAGAGACCAGGAUCCACUUCUUAGGUAUGGUUUCCCCUGAAGUUAUUGGUGUAUUACACAACAUAUCUACCAUUGAAAUAAAUAUUAAGCAUUGUUGUCAUCAUCAUUGCUCAUAUCACUCUUUUUGCUACUUGGGGACAAACGCUAUCGCUGCCACCGCAAACGCUCAACUAGCUCAUUAUGGUAAAUUAUGCUUUUUUUAGACCAUGCACUACAUUUGGAUUGUACUAUUAUCAAAAUAGAAUAUACUUUACAGCUGCAGAUGAUCAAUUUCUAUAACUAUCAGAACAAGUUUUGUUGCCACAGGGAAAUUAUUGUUCUUUUAAUUUUAUUACAAUGAGAGAUUUUGAAAUGAGUGUUAGACAAUCAGCAUUUUUCAAAUAAUGCAAAUAAUUAAUUUAACAACUCUUUUCUUUUUUAAAUUUGAGGACUUUGGGCAUUGAUGAUGCUUUUGGUCUUUUUGAUUGUACUUUAAAUGUCAUCUGAAGGAAGCUAAAGCAACGGGACUCCAACGAUGUUGGUCUCACCCAGAUGACACCCCUUAACAUCGAUCCAGCUGAUAAAGCACAGUUAUGCCCACUUUUUCAAAGUUAAUCUACUAUAAGCAUGAUGUAAUUAAUCUAAGGGAAACAAAUGACUUCUACAGCUUUUAGUUGUAUGGUUUUUGUCUCAUUACUGUUUCUUUCUUUCUUAUGACCACCCAUUUUUUAACACCUGUACAGAACAUAGUAAAACUCAACCAAGUAAACCAGUAUGAUGGGUGAAGUUCACAUCUUUUAACCUAAGAGAGUAAGAAAGUGUGUUGUGUCUUAAAUGAAAAUUCAACCAAACAUUUCUCACUGCUGACCACUUACAAUUAACUGCACUGUAUCAUCAUGAUUUCACCAGAGAGAUGUAUUGUACAAUAGUGUUUAACACUUGGUAAUAAUUCUUACUUCCUUCGUCCAUAAAACCAAACACUUUUAUAUGAACUGACAACCAUCAUUUUACACAUGAAGAGGAGGCCUUUUGAACAUGAGCAGCGUUAAACAUUUUAAUAAGGUUUAUUUUCUUGUGUUCAUGCAUGUGUACUUUCGUAGCAGAGUUGUAUACCAUCAUGCUUUUGAUGAGAGAUAAUCACCCAUUUUCAUGCUCUGCUCAUUUUCUAAUCUGUCCUGUGAUGUGGUGAUGCAUUAAAAAUAAUUGUCUCCAAA